Molecule: long non-coding RNA, 683 nt
Filed under: Monodelphis domestica (gray short-tailed opossum)
Lineage: Eukaryota; Metazoa; Chordata; Mammalia; Didelphimorphia; Didelphidae
Description: lncRNA (ENSMODG00000036036.2)
Source: RNAcentral
AGGGAAUAUGUCUCCUCAGAGGAUGGUUCUGGGAGAUGGAAGACCAGAACUGGAGAGAUUAACUUUGGCUCACACCGAGGAAGUCUCCCCGCCUCGGGCUGCCACCCCCUGAAGGACCCCAGGGUGGCCAGCAGAGAGCUGGAAGCCAGAGGAAAUGGCCCCUGGGACCCGGAGGUACCCCUCUUGGGUCAUUUACCCCAUGUAUAUUCCAUUGAUCCACCCUUCUACUGCCAUGGACCAGGGUCCAGCCCCACUUGUGGCUCCAGGGGUUCUCAACAGGUGGAGCGGGUAGGCGGAAAUAAGAGGCGGAAGACUGCUGUGUAUGUGUAUCUGCCAGGGGCAGGCUUUGCAUGAAGUGGCUGCUUCGCCAUGCCCAGGUUGGUCUUUAUUCUUAUACCCAUUUUCUUGGCACACAGAUACAUCAUUCAACAUACAUGUUCAAAUAGAGAUAAUUGGAUAAGUGAUACAUUCACUUUUAACAAAUCGUUUGAUUAACAUUCUGGGAUUAUUCUAUAUUCUUGUAUUGUGAUUAUUGAUUAUGACAGGAAAUACAAAGGUUCUAUACAAGAUAUAUGAUUUUGUCACAGGUGGCUGAAUUUUCUCAUUAACCUGUGAGAAGCCUGAGCUUACAGACAAUCAAAGAAAAUUACUUAUUACCUUUAAUAAAAAGAGAUAAUCAGUCA